This 468-nucleotide ribosomal RNA is filed under the name uncultured bacterium. Its description in RNAcentral is "bacterial SSU rRNA". It matches the Rfam family "Bacterial small subunit ribosomal RNA", at positions 329 to 793 of the family's 1533-position model. The record is from RNAcentral.
UUCCAGACUCCUACGGGAGGCAGCAGUGAGGAAUAUUGGUCAAUGGGCUUACGCCUGAACCAGCCAAGUCGCGUGAGGGAAGACUGCCCUAUGGGUUGUAAACCUCUUUUGUCAGGGAGCAAUUGGCGCUACGUGUAGCGUUAUCGAGAGUACCUGAAGAAAAAGCAUCGGCUAACUCCGUGCCAGCAGCCGCGGUAAUACGGAGGAUGCGAGCGUUAUCCGGAUUUAUUGGGUUUAAAGGGUGCGUAGGCGGAAUGCCAAGUCAGGGGUAAAAUCGCGGGGCUCACCCCCGGCCUGCCGUUGAAACUGGCGGCCUCGAGUGGGCGAGAAGUAUGCGGAAUGCGUGGUGUAGCGGUGAAAUGCAUAGAUAUCACGCAGAACUCCGAUUGCGAAGGCAGCAUACCGGCGCUCAACUGACGCUCAUGCACGAAAGCGUGGGUAUCGAACAGGAUUAGAUACCCCAGUACG